GGAGUUUGCUAUGGAUAUGAGUUGAUGGAUUCUAGUGAAUCUCCAAAUGUUCCAUUUACAUUGAUAUUAACUCGGUUCAAAAAAGCUCCAUCUAUGGUCAUUUACGACAACGCUUGUAGGAUGCACUCCUACUGUCUGAACAGGCAUCCUGAUUUCUUCAAAGACACAUGGUUUCUAGUCGAUCGACUGCAUUGGUUUAACCAUCGAGGGUGUAAUGAUGGGUACAACCUAAAUGAAUAUGUGCAAUUCAAUACCAUAAACAGUCAGGCUGCAGAGCAAUGCAACAGUUCCCUAGGAAAACUUAAAUCAAUGCUUUCUUACAUGACAAAUUACAACUUUCAUCUUCAUUGCAAGUUCUACCUGUGGGUUCUUAAUAAAAGAAAACAGAAUGCUAACAAGUGAUUAUGUGAAAAAGAUUUCCAAAAAUUUGUUGAUUUUUUUAGUUAAUUUUUUUGUUAAAUGUGUCUUCAUCAAUAAGUUUUUUCACUGGGUAGUUUUCAAGUUUUUUUUUCUCUUUUCCUAAUCACUCACUGGAAAGCAUGAAUUCAAGAUAUUGCUUCAUGAGUAAUAACUGCAGUUUUACUUAAAUUAUACAGUAUUUAACAUUAUUCAAAAUACUUAAUUUUAAUUAUUUUGUGUGUGAGCUUCUUGUCAGAUAUAAUUUUUAGUUAUCUUGAUUAUUUCUUUUAAAGUUGGUUGCAUAAAUUUUUUUUCCUCUUUAUCCAAAUCUCCCAAUCAACUACAUUGCUCUCUUCACUUCUAACUGGAAUGAGGAACGGAAAUUAUUUUUUUUCUUUCAAAUAAUUCAACUAGGAGUACACAAAAACAUUCUGAUCAGUAUUCAUUUAAGUUGUAGGUACGUUUGUUUUAAAAUAUACAUACUUCACUUACAUAUUUGAACACUUUUCCAAUGAAAUAAAGGUAAAACAUUCAAUUUUUUCAUGCAAAUGUUUGUCCUCAGAUUGUAAAGAUUUCUUCACAAAUUAUUUAGGUGCAUGAAUUUUCAUCAUUGGUUUAAAAUUGUGAAGCUCUCCAAAAAAAAAGUAAUACAGGUGAGAUGCUACAUAUCAUUGUGUCAUGUGACCCUGUGAAUUAACAUAUCACAGUAUUUGUUGUGUUAUACAUGUUAACCAAUUUACUGUAUUUUCUUGUCCUCAUGUUGUUGAUACAAUAAAAUUUGAAAACCUG
Ostrea edulis (European flat oyster) is the source of this 1188-nucleotide long non-coding RNA. RefSeq lists it as uncharacterized. The record is from RefSeq and is a predicted model, not a curated record. NCBI's taxonomy places the organism in Eukaryota, Metazoa, Mollusca, Bivalvia, Ostreida, Ostreidae. The transcript has 2 exons.